AAUACGUUCCCGGGCCUUGUACACACCGCCCGUCAAGCCAUGGGAGUUGAAGGUACCCGAAGUCGAUUACCGCAAGGAGUCGCCCAAGGUAAAUUCGAUGACUGGGGCU
This 109-nucleotide ribosomal RNA is filed under the name uncultured bacterium. Its description in RNAcentral is "partial 16S ribosomal RNA". It matches the Rfam family "Bacterial small subunit ribosomal RNA", at positions 1365 to 1482 of the family's 1533-position model. The record is from RNAcentral.